AGCCCAUGAACGAACAUCACCUUGACCAGCUUCUUCUCUUUCAUUCAACAUUUGCUCCCACCAGAUUAGAGCAUACCCAUCGAACUCAAGAGCAGCCAAGGCAACCUUCUUUCUCUCAGAAUAAUUAUGCACACGAAAAAUUUUAUCCACCUUCAACUCCCAUGUAAGAUAUGCUUCAGGAUCAGAUCCUCCUUCAAACUGGGGCAUGGUCAAUUUUAACUUGCCAAACCUCUCUUCAUUGUGCUGAUUACGCCUACGAUUUCUUCGGUGACGACGAUCAUCAUAAUGGGGCUGUUCAUCCUCUUCUUCAGUUUCACUUUCUUCCAAUCCAAUUUCUCUCCCAUGUCCAUGACCAGCACCUCUACCACCAUGAUCACGUUGUGGAAA
Molecule: long non-coding RNA, 387 nt
Filed under: Sorghum bicolor (sorghum)
Lineage: Eukaryota; Viridiplantae; Streptophyta; Magnoliopsida; Poales; Poaceae
Description: long non-coding RNA (SBIC_LNC012676)
Source: RNAcentral